This 538-nucleotide ribosomal RNA is filed under the name uncultured bacterium. Its description in RNAcentral is "bacterial SSU rRNA". It matches the Rfam family "Bacterial small subunit ribosomal RNA", at positions 777 to 1315 of the family's 1533-position model. The record is from RNAcentral.
AAUAGAUACCCCGGUAGUCCACGCCGUAAACGUUGGAUACUAGGUGUGGCGGUUAUACCAAUGACUGCCGUGCCGAAGCUAACGCAUUAAGUAUCCCGCCUGGGGAGUACGGCCGCAAGGCUAAAACUCAAAGGAAUUGACGGGUCCCCGCACAAGCGGCGGAGCAUGCGGCUUAAUUCGAUGCAACCCGAAGAACCUUACCUGGGUUUGACAUCACGGGAAAAGCUGUAGAAAUACAGUGUCCAUUAGGGCCCGUGACAGGUGGUGCAUGGCUGUCGUCAGCUCGUGUCGUGAGAUGUUGGGUUAAGUCCCGCAACGAGCGCAACCCUUGUCCUAUGUUGCCAGCGGUUCGGCCGGGGACUCAUAGGAGACUGCCGGGGAUAACUCGGAGGAAGGUGAGGACGACGUCAAGUCAUCAUGCCCCUUAUAUCCAGGGCUGCACGCAUGCUACAAUGGCCGGUACAACGGGCAGCGACCCCGCGAGGGUGAGCGAAUCCUAAAAAGCCGGUCCUAGUUCGGAUUGAAGUCUGCAACUCGA